GAUGAACGCUGGCGGCGCGCCUAAUACAUGCAAGUCGAGCGAACAGACGAGGAGCUUGCUCCUCUGACGUUAGCGGCGGACGGGUGAGUAACACGUGGAUAACCUACCUAUAAGACUGGGAUAACUUCGGGGAACCGGAGCUAAUACCGGAUAAUAUAUUGAACCGCAUGGUUCAAUAGUGAAAGACGGUUUUGCUGUCACUUAUAGAUGGAUCCGCGCCGCAUUAGCUAGUUGGUAAGGUAACGGCUUACCAAGGCAACGAUGCGUAGCCGACCUGAGAGGGUGAUCGGCCACACUGGAACUGAGACACGGUCCAGACUCCUAUGGGAGGCAGCAGUAGGGAAUCUUCCGCAAUGGGCGAAAGCCUGACGGAGCAACGCCGCGUGAGUGAUGAAGGUCUUCGGAUCGUAAAACUCUGUUAUUAGGGAAGAACAAAUGUGUAAGUAACUAUGCACGUCUUGACGGUACCUAAUCAGAAAGCCACGGCUAACUACGUG
Molecule: ribosomal RNA, 497 nt
Filed under: uncultured bacterium
Lineage: Bacteria
Description: partial 16S ribosomal RNA
Rfam family: Bacterial small subunit ribosomal RNA
Source: RNAcentral